GGCUGUUUUUCUGCUAAGGGGACAGGAGGAUUGAUCCGUGUUAAGGAAAGAAUGAAUGGGGCCAUGUAUCGUGAGAUUUUGAGCCAAAACCUCCUUCCAUCAGUGAGAGCUUUGAAUUGUUGACCAAAUACUUAUUUUCCACCAUAAUUUACAAAUAAAUUCCUGGAUUCUUUUUCCACAUUCUGUCUCUCACAGUUGAAGUGUACCUAUGAUGAACAUUACAGACCUCUGUCAUCAUUUUAAGUGGGAGAACUUGCACAAUCGGUGGCUGACUAAAUACUUUUUUGCCCCACUGUACUUCCCCAGCUCUUUUUUUUAAUGUAGACUAAUUUGUAUGAUUGAUUUAGUAAAUGUUUAAAUUAAUCCUGUUAGCUGUGCUUUGUUAAGCGGAAAUUGGAACACGAGGCGUCGACUUUAAAUGUAAAAUUGAAGCAUUGUUUUUUUUUUUUAAGUGUUUUUUUUUGUUUUUAGGCCAUCUGGUGAAACUAGCAUGAAGAUAUGAAAGCCUGCUGGUCUGCAUGGUCUCUCAGAAUGAAAGUUUCAUGAUGUGAGACAAAAGCAGGAAGUGUUAAGCUGUGCAGGCGUGGGAGACUUUCAGGUUCAGAGAAACUGGAGAAAUCACUGCACGUAAGCGAUGAUAUUACGGAUCUUCGAUCCCUCAGGCGGUACUGCAUCAAAAAGCGACAUCGGUGUGUAAAGGAUAUCACCACAUGGGCUCAGGAACACCACUGUCAGCAACUCCUCAGUAGAAGCAUUUAGGUCCCAUCUUAAAACUCAUUUGUACACUCUGGCGUUUAAAUAGAGCCACCUUUUUUAGACCAGUUGAUCUGCCGUUUCUUUUCUGGGCACAGAUUCGGUGACCGCAGAUGAAGCGCGAGCUGUCCAAAGUCGGGACCCAGGGUGGAGCACUCAUCCGUGCAUCAGUUGGGGCCACGUCUCUGCGCUGCUGACCUGUCUCCACUCAAGAUCGUUCGGAGGAAGUUGGGGAGCUUCUCUGGCAGAGGAUGAGCUGCGGGAAGACCAGGUGGGACAAGCUGCAGCUUGCUGCCCACGCCAGCACACUUGACUUUUUGUACGAGGAGGCCCAAAAGUUUCCAGGCUUCUUUCACAUUCGCUUUUGACUCGUGGGGGCGUGAUGACGUGUCGCAUGCUGGGAGUUCAGACCUUCAGUUGCGUUUUUAACACUAAAAAUUAAAACGUAUUUCACCAAAA
Nerophis ophidion (straightnose pipefish) is the source of this 1212-nucleotide long non-coding RNA. RefSeq lists it as uncharacterized. The transcript is spliced from 4 exons. The record is from RefSeq and is a predicted model, not a curated record. Lineage: Eukaryota; Metazoa; Chordata; Actinopteri; Syngnathiformes; Syngnathidae.